GGUGUGUUAGGGGAGCGAGACAUGGAAAACAAGACUGGAUAGGUGGCAUCGAGGCAUAUCUGCUGUGCAAACAAAAAACAGCUGAGCGGUUCAGUGAGAAUGACUUGCAGCAUAUAACUGGCCCAGUUUUGCAACAGGGGAGAACAGCAGAGGCAAAAGGUCUACAGAAAAACAAACAAGCAAGCAAUGUCUUUAAUGACAAUUCGACCUUUGAGCCAGGAACAGAGAAUUUUAGGAAACUUUAAUUCAAGCUCAGUUGGCUACGCUUUGAGUUACUCAGAUGUGACCACCAUAUGAGAGCCUAGCAGAACUUGAUUGGAUGGAAGGGAAUAUGACAGACGUGAGAAAACUUAGUAAACAUCACCUUAGUAACUAAAACCAGUUUCACGAGGGGUCCUUACUCUAGAUAGGAAUUUCCCAUCUUACCUGGCGGCAUGGCCGAUCAGGAUUCGACAGCACAAGCCCUGGUCCAAUGAUGUUGAAAGUAGCAUCAAUGUGCAUUGGGUUGGGAUCUUUGAAGGAGAUGAUGUGGAUUUUGUAG
This is a long non-coding RNA of Corythoichthys intestinalis (scribbled pipefish), 541 nucleotides long. RefSeq lists it as uncharacterized. The transcript has 3 exons. The record is from RefSeq and is a predicted model, not a curated record. Lineage: Eukaryota; Metazoa; Chordata; Actinopteri; Syngnathiformes; Syngnathidae.